GUGUGUGGCAUAAUACGGAAAAAAUGUAUAAUUAGGUGUGAUAGGCUUUUCAAAAACCAAGAUAUCUUGAUAGUACUAAAACGUAUUUAGUACGUAAGGCAAAUAUAAAGUGUUUAGGCUUUAUAUUUCUUCAAAAUUGGGUGGCUGGCUCGAACGAUUUAACCAUCUGUUUGUCUUAUAUAAUAACACAAUUGUUCCAACAUUGAAUUUAUUAAGUACUUUAAACGUCAAUUAUUUGGUGAAUAAAUAAUGUUACCAUUAGUAUUUCUUUAAGGCAUCUUUAAUGAACUCGGCAAUCAAUAUCCUCGACUGUUUAUCAAAAACAUAGCUGUAUGUUGUGUAUAUAUAGUUAUUUCUGCUCAAUGUAAUAUAAAUAGCCGCAGUACUCUGACUGUGCAAAGGUAGCAUAAUCAAUUGGCUUAUAAUUGAAGUCUAGUAUGAAAGAAUAUACGGGGAUAUUCUAUAUAGGGAUGUUUUGAAAAAUUGCUUAAUAAGUGAAAAUGCUUAUGUAAAAAUAAUAGACGAGAAGACCCUAGAAAUUUUAAGGAAACAUAACCAGGUUCUUUUUGUUGGGGCGACAGAGUAGCAUGUAACCUACGAAGAAUUAAAUAGGAAUAUUGUAUUAUGAGUAAUCAAAUUACUCUAGGGAUAACAGCAUAAUAUUUAAAAGUUUGUGACCUCGAUGUUGGACUAGGAAACUUUUAACCCAGAAGGUUAACAGUGGCGCUCUGUUCGAGCAAUUACUCCUACAUGAUCUGAGUUCAGACCGGCGUAAGCCAGGUCAGUUUCU
This 790-nucleotide ribosomal RNA is filed under the name Karaftohelix middendorffi. RNAcentral describes it as "partial 16S ribosomal RNA". Lineage: Eukaryota; Metazoa; Mollusca; Gastropoda; Stylommatophora; Camaenidae. The record is from RNAcentral.